CGAAUCACAUACUGGCCUGCAAUGGUUCUGCUCAUGGAUGACAGAGCAGCAGGAAAUGGACCUGAAUAUCCUCUUAGCAGCCAUGACUGGAUGCCAAAUGGGACAAAGAAGAACUUUGAAUAUGACAUCACACUACCUCCUGCACUGUGGUUCCUGAUAAGAAAUCAGCCAUUCAUCUUACUGAGACUCCUUUAGGAUUGGUGCCCUCAUAAGAAGAGAAAGACACACCAAAGCACUUCCUUUGAUGUGAAGAUACAGUGAUAAGGUAGCACUUUCCAGGGUGUCUGCUGUGUUUCUGAUCCAGGGAGGCACCCGCUGCUGCUCCUGAUGGGCUAGAGGCUCGCCAUUGUUCCUGCUAGGCUAAGUGCCUGGGUUCGUCCUAAUCGAGCUCAACACUAGUUGCUGGGUUCCACGGCUCUCUUCCAUGACCCGCGGCUUCAAAUAGAGCUAGAACACUCACCGCAUGGCCGACGGUUCCAUUCCUUGGAAUCCAUGAGGCCAAGAACCCCAGGUCAGAGACCAAAGGCUUGCCGCCAUCUUGGGAGCAGCCUGCCACCAUCCUGGGAGCUCCAAGAACAAAGAUCCACCUGUAACAAUAAGAUUUAUUGUCCAGAAGAAGAAUGUCACAAGGUCGAUUGAUCAGGUAAGGUAGGGCAGGGACAGUCACAGUGGUGGAAUGUUGUAAUGUUGGUUAAUCAGUUAAGGCAGGAACUGACUGUUUUACUUCUUUUGUGGUUUUUCGGCUGCCACAGACUUCUUGGCUCCUGCAGGCCAUCUGGACAUAUAUGUGCAGGUCACAGGGGUUACAAUGGCUGAGCUUCGGCUCAGAGGCCUG
Long non-coding RNA from Homo sapiens (human), 835 nucleotides. RefSeq lists it as uncharacterized. The record is from RefSeq and is a predicted model, not a curated record. Lineage: Eukaryota; Metazoa; Chordata; Mammalia; Primates; Hominidae. The transcript has 5 exons.